UAUAUUUUGGUAGUGGGGAUUAAACACAGGGCCUUUGCACUGAGCUAUAACCCCAGCCCUUUUUUAUUUUUACACAGGGUUUCACUGAGUUACUAAAUUACCCAGGCUGGACUUGAGCUUGGGCUCCUCCUCCCUUGGACUCCCACAGGCACGCGUCUCCAAGUCCUGCCCAGCUGCCACAGGAAGGACGGAUGACUGGCCUCGCUCCCAAACUCACUGCACCAAGCAAAUGGAGAAGCAAUCUGCUGCUAACCAACUCGGCCCCUCUGCCCACACACAUUCCCUGCUUGCUCAGGACAGAAGGGAAGAAUGAAAACGACACCAGAAUUAGUGCCCUGAGUUCAGGAAAUCCCAGCCCCCAGAGCCGGCAGGCUAAGACGGGUCCCUGCGUGAAUGCCAGCUGUCGGGGCGUGUGUGCCACAGUAUGCGCCCCCGUCCAGAUGGGCGCUGUGUGCUCUCAGCGUUGGAAUGGCAAGAAGGGCACCAGCUCGAGCUGUUUAAUUUUGCUCUUGCUUCCCGAUGGGCCUCAGCUUCGAUGACCAGUAUAAAGUUACUUGCCCAAGAAGCCAGGAAAACAUUUCGUGUCAAGAAGGAGCGGGGUGGAUGGAGCUGGCCCGAGUUUUGACAGAGAACAAGUUUCCACUUACGGCUGGGCUUGCCUGCCCCUGCUCUCACAGAAUGGAUCCCAGCUGUGCAGCCGCUGGCGGGCUCAGACAGCGCCCCCUCCGCAGUGCUGGCGCAUGCCGGAAGCGGGCACUGAGAACAGGUGGGCUGUGGCCAGAGGAGAAAACCUGACCGCUCACGCGGCCCAGACAGCUCAGCCCAGUCCACAGAAGUUUACAGGGCUCCUCAAAAUGAAGCGCAUCAGGAAAGAGAGCGACCCAGAAAGCAAACAUCCAGCCAAAAGGAAAGAACCCAUGAAACCGUUAGACGGUGCUCGAGAACUGCCUGGGCUUUGGGCUUCAGAGAAGUUGUCUGCGUCAUUAAGUCCUCAGUCCUCUUGGCCAGAACCUGAACCAAGAGUCUCAGAGUUCUAAGAUGAGGUGAGUCUGAGUUCCAGUCCAGUGCAGGCCUUGAGGUAGCAUUGCCCUUUCCCUGGGUCUCAGCUUCCUGGGAAGUUGGAGUGGGUGGCCUCUGAGAGCCCUGCUUAGAGAGAUCGUUCUAAGACUACCCAAAUUUGGAUGUGAUCUUUGGGCCAGCAGGCAGCUUUCUAGAUAUGUCCGUUAAAGAUACUAACUUUCUCGUGGGUAGUACCCAAUUUGCUCUUUCCCUGGAAAUGAAAGAUUUGGACACUAACGGAUACGACAUUUGUGUGGGCGGUACGUAGAUAAACAAAUAUGUGUGCCAGACAGAUGGAACUCUGGUUGGAUCACUUUUAAGCAAUGCCUUAUAAUCACUCAGCAGAAACUACCAAACACUCACAUCUACGGUUUACAGAAAUUUCUAAGCAAUGCCCGGCGAUAGUUGUUAUUACAAAUAUUUGCAAACUUGAAUCUCUUGGAGAGCUGUCAGUUGCUCAGUGGCUUAGUGUGAAGUUCUAGGAGUUUCUCCCUGAAUACACAGGCCUGGGCCUCUCCAGAUCCCCUUCCCUGAGCACGAGAGGCAAGAAGCUUCCGGCCUGGUUACCCUACCCCCAGGUUAGCGAGGGUCAUCCCAGCAGUCAAACCCCCCUUCCUCUGGUGCUGGUUUGAAACAGGGGUGGGCUUGGGGAUUAUAACCAGGGUUCUCUCUGACCUUUAGGAGAACCAAGGAUCCUUCCUGCUCUGCUCCGUUAAAAGCCAUCUAUGUGUUCUUUGAUGCCUGACCUCAGCUGUCCGUGGAGGAGUUCAGAAUUCCAUUAAAUAAUUUCCUAAGCAUAGCUUUGCGAUGCAGAAUGUUGUUACAAUCAUUUAUUCAUUCAGUUUUUCCAACCCAUUUAACAAAUACCUAAAUGCCCGUCUGCCGCCGGUCUACAAUGGCACUGUACUAAUGAGCAGAGCUAAGUUCCUCCCCAUGGAAUUCCCAGUCUGACAGGGGGAGGUACUGCUAACUGAGUGGGUUGCCAGUCACUAACCAACUCCAGAGGAAGUGGGGAGACACUGGCUUGUUAUCUGGCUGAGAUUAAAAACAGAAUCCAUUCCUCAGAGGUGGGAUUUGGAGCUGCAGUCGGGAAGCAGCCAGCUGAGUUAGUACAUGAAGUCAUCUGCAGUGAAAUGCUCAUUGAGGGCAGGGCUCCAGGGACUGGGUUGGGUCGGCCAGGGAUGGUAUAUACAGCACGGAGGAUUUAAGGACUACAGAUGAGGUGAACGGUUAUAAAGGGACUGGAGCAUGUACCUGAGAGGUAAAGAAAGUCCAACCACUAACUUUCCCCUUGGAGACACAGACUGAAACCCUGGAGCUUAACUCUCAAGGGACAGCGUCCCCCAAGACAGUUGGGAAAGGCCUGUGCGGGUCGCAGUCUCGUAACUCCAGGGCAGCAACGGGGAAGACUCACUGGCGGUGACUCAGCAGCCACGAUGCGACCAAGUCCCUGCAGGGAGACCUAGCUCUCCGAUCUUUUUGUUUCUGUCCAUUUCCAGAGUCUGCUUCUUGACAGUUCUCACGGAUUCUGUGAGCUCCCUCACACAUUCCCGGGGACAUCCUCUUCUGUGUAAAAGAACCAAAGUCUGUUUCGUAAAAGGAUCUCUCGUGCACCAACCCUCAUCCUCACAUGUGGAAGGAGCAGGAAUUCGCCUGGUCAGAAAGAAUUGAUCCAUCUAGCCAUAGUUUACAUACCUUGUGAAUCACCUUAAAUGUGCUCCAGAAGAAAGCAGUGUAAAUAAAUUAAGAAGAGCAAAUCAUUCGACGUGCACUUGCUUCCUGCUUUCAGGCACAGAGAACUGCAGAGGGUCUCAGGCAGCUGGGAGGCUGGUGCGGCUGGGUGGAUGAUGAUGACCAGGACCCGGUCUUGUAGAAAGAUAGAACACAGUCCCCAACAAUGCAAGGUCCCAUGAGAACAAUGUGUCACCGGUAGUGCUGUAGUCUGAGUGUUUGUCUCGCUUCAGUACUCGUGUUGGAGUUCUAACUCUGAGUGUGGCCGCAUUGGAAGGCGAGGCCCUUAGGAAGUGCUGUCCUUUGGGUCUCGAGUGUCCCCCAAGUUCAUGUACAUGUUAAGGGGCAGUCCCUAGGAUCUGGAGCCUUGAGGAGGUGGGGCCUCGCCUGCAGGCCUCGGGGAGCCGUCCACAAGAGGACUGCAAGACUCCCGCAAGCUAGACUUCUCUACCUUGCUGCUUGCCCAUAAGGUGAGGGGUUUUGUUCCAGCGGUUUUGUUCCAGUGGUUCUGGGCCAUCCAAUCAUGGUUAUACAGAGACUUACAUUUUUCUCCCAGUUCCCACGUAGACACCCUUUUCACGCCCUAUAGUGCAUGAUAUUUGGGAGGAGGUAACACUGGUAUAUAUUUAUCCACUAAAAGGCACAUGGUACUAGAACUUGCACCCACAGAAGCUGUGACCUAAUUGAACAGGAGUCUUGGAGAGAAGUUGCCCAUAAAAGCUGCCCUUGAUGGGAGCCACCAAAGCGGAGAGCCGAAAGAAAACUCUUGCUUUUGUGAGUUGAUUAUCUUAGGUAUUUGUUACAGAAAGGAAAGCUGACUGACACAGGAGAGAGUAGUACCCUCGGAGGAGACCCUGGAGAGCUUGCUCAUGCCUCCCACUGCAUAAGACACCACGCAAAGAUGGCAACCGGCUGUGACACAGGGCAUGGGCCCUCGCCAGACCCUGAACCAGGCACUUAACCAGGGCUUCCAGGCUCCGGAGCUGUGAGGAAUUGAUUUCUGUUGUUUACAAGCUGCCCGGGCUACGGUAGUAUAAUGGCCCAGACUCUUGCAGGUAGUUAUGACAACAAAUGAGGCAGGGUUUCUAAAGCCGGGAAGUGCUGGAGGCCGGGUGAAGAUGACAUCAUAGAUGAGGAAAUGAGAUGCUCAGGGACUGCCUAAUGAUCUCCUACCUGCCGGGUGGCUGCUGCCAAUGCAGGACGGGCGUUACUGACACCGAAGUCCCCCCAAUGGUGCAUGCAGUUGCCGUGGGAUGUGUUCGCUUCAGUCAGCCCUUGGUUUCUGAGAUCCCACCGAGGGCUGCACGUCUGUGUUAAUGCAGAAGAACAAAAGACAGGGAUUCGGAAGGAGCACAAAGUCUUCCCGCCCUGGCAAGCCACGCAGAGCCCAGGCUUGGACACUUUCAGCCCACAGUACAGCUCACUUCACAGCCCUGUCUUGUGCCUGUCCUGGCCCAGGCAGACCCAGAGGGUGAAGUGGGAGACUGAGUCACACACCCUGCAGCUCUGUCAGCAGCAGCAGGGGAUGUGGCCCCCUGAGGUGGGUGGGUGAUCUGGGCGGUCACUGCAGAAUGCCUGACAGACCCAGAGCCCAAGGGCAGAUAACCCAACCUGCUAAACCAACCCCAGUGAAACGUCUCCCUUGUCCUGUAGAGGCUCCCACCCGACAGCGUGCCGGCUCCCACCCAGCCCUGCAGCCCUCUUGUCCCGGACAGAACCCUCACCCUCGCCGUGACCACUUCAAGUCCCCCGGGGGCGGGGCUGUGCUUGGAACCUGACCCCUCAGCAUUUUCCCUUCAAAGCUUAAGGUGGUGGCUUUGGUUUAUAUGUGACCCUUCCA
This 4630-nucleotide long non-coding RNA is filed under the name Chinchilla lanigera (long-tailed chinchilla). RNAcentral's name for it is "lncRNA (ENSCLAG00000026506.1)". The record is from RNAcentral. Lineage: Eukaryota; Metazoa; Chordata; Mammalia; Rodentia; Chinchillidae.